AUCGCUUCUCGGCCUUUUGGCUAAGAUCAAGUGUAGUAUCUGUUCUUAUCAGAAGAGGACCCGUCCGACCAGACUGGUAACUAGUAUCAGAACUAACCUCUCUUUUUAUUCCCAUGGCUGAUCUCAACAUCUUCUGCAUUAAUGUGAGGAGUAUUAGAGCUUGGUUUAGAUUUCAGACUGUUCUUACGUUCU
Hyla sarda is the source of this 192-nucleotide small nuclear RNA. RefSeq annotates it as U2 spliceosomal RNA. The record is from RefSeq and is a predicted model, not a curated record. The transcript has a single exon. NCBI's taxonomy places the organism in Eukaryota, Metazoa, Chordata, Amphibia, Anura, Hylidae.